CAGCCGCCGCGGUAAUACCGGCGGCCCGAGUGGCGGUCACUAUUAUUGGGCUUAAAGCGUCCGUAGCCGGGUUGGGAAGUCCUCCGGGAAAUCUGGCCGCUUAACGGUCAGAAUGCCGGAGGAUACUCCCAGCCUAGGGAGCGGGAGAGGCCGAGGGUAUUCCCGGAGUAGGGGUGAAAUCCUAUAAUCCCGGGAGGACCACCUGUGGCGAAGGCGCUCGGCUGGAACGCGUCCGACGGUGAGGGACGAAGGCCAGGGGAGCAAACCGGAUUAGAUACCCGGGUAGUCCUGGCUGUAAAGGAUGCGGGCUAGGUGUCGGGUGAGCUUCGGGCUCGCCCGGUGCCGUAGGGAAGCCGUUAAGCCCGCCGCCUGGGGAGUACGGCCGCAAGGCUGAAACUUAAAGGAAUUGGCGGG
Molecule: ribosomal RNA, 414 nt
Filed under: uncultured microorganism
Description: bacterial SSU rRNA
Rfam family: Archaeal small subunit ribosomal RNA
Source: RNAcentral